GAUUACUUGUGAAUAUCCUGUCUAGCAGGAACGUGUGGUAGGCCGUGUAGGUGACAGUUACAUUGGUCCCCUGUAGUCCGCCUCCUGUUAGCAGGACGGGUAGGGUUUAUCGGCCUAUGGAUAAGCAUCCUUUGUGGUGUAUUCUUAUCACGUGGUUCGUCCCAAACAUAGACAUACCCCUUUGAAGUAGAGAAACCAUAGUUAUCCUCUCUAUUCUGCUACCAUCGCCCAUAUACUAGAUUGCUCUACUCUCUAUUCCCAUAUUAUCACCCAUUGUUAUCUUACCUUUAAUAUUGUUCUUAUUCAAUUCUACCAUCUUUCCUAUUUACACUUAUCUAUCUAUCUUGGUUAAGUUAGAGCAUAGUUGGUUCUCCCGUUUCCCUGUGGAUACGAUAAAACCUUUAACCGGGUAAAAGCUACAACGGUAUCCGUGCGCUUGCGGAUUUAUCUGUGUGCGUAUAAAUACCAUAGUACACUCUAGUGCCAUGCUGUGGAUGACAACCUAGUAUUCAAGUGGUGUUAGCAAGUGUCAACACCGACGUGUGGGCCUUUCUUCCAUAUUUCCUGAUAACCCCCUGCAGAAAUAGAUAAACAGCAAAACUUGUGGAAUUCUGUCAGAUCAAACCCUAAUUCUACGUGUUGCUUGUAUAUUGGUCCUUUUCCUUAUUUUUUUGAUAAUUAAAAUUGAUACUUAAGAACCGUCAACAAUUACUAAAACUGAAAUUUACUAUCUAUGGGAAGCAUGAACCUAAAACUAGAGUCUAGGUAAGAGAAGGACAUGAUAUAAAUUUUGAGCUACUGUUUAUCUUGUUUCUACUGCACUAAGUUCUGGAGAUUUAUUUUGAAAACUUGCAAAUCACAUGAUGAGUUCCUAGCAUGACGAAAAUCCCUACCACAGCCAUACUUUCUACAAUUUCUAUAUCUUUUGCUACUUAUAUUCACAUUGAGUUUGAUCGAGCUAUGUAGACCCUUAGGAGCUUUUCAUGUGGUUAAAUCAAGAUACAGACUUGCACUCAUCUAUUAUACCAUCCAUCAUCAUUCAUCAAAAAUCUGCUAAAAUAUUGUUAUCACUCACUGUCCCAAGUGUUGUUAUUCUCUCUCUCCAAAAAGAUUCAAUGCAGAAGAGGCAUGGGAUAUGCAAAAAAUAUGCGAGGAAAAAAAGGGGCUAGUGCCCGGAACCUUGAAAAAGAAAGAAAAAAAGACUGAGACGAGAGGUAAAAAUGGACAAGUGUCCGGAGUAGAAUUAGGGGUACAAAGAUGCCCACCUGAGCAGACAAAAUGGACAAUUGUCCGACAGUAUAAUUAGGGGUAUUUACUAUACACCUGAAAAGAAAAAGAAAAAGAAGUAAAAAGAUAGCACAUGUUCUCCCAAAUCAAAGAUCAAGAGAGGAGGAGAGAUAGCAAUAUGAGGAGCAAUGAGAAGUAAGUUUUAUCAUCACUUAUACAUUUUUACCAUCACUAUCGUCUACUCCACCACACAUGCACAUCUUAAUUUAAUUAUAUGCUGAGUUCCUUUGGAUCCAUGGCUCGAUUAGACAACAUAUGUAUGAGCUGUUUUUCACUCCUAUGAGCUCCACUUAAAUUUUCCAUUAGCUAUAGGUAGGUGACAUCUUUGUAAGGAUCCACAAAUACCACAUAUAGAGAGACUUGAGAGAAUCAUAGCUGGGAACUCUGAGCUUUAUUUUUUAAAACUUAUGCAAAACUCCAGAACAAAGGUGAAGUAUAGGCAAAAGGAAUAGUGCUUGAAUUAAUUAUCUUGUCUUUCAAUUACUCAAGACUUAAGUGCAGGUACUAAGCCCCUUGACAUUUCACUCUAAUCUGGGAGAAUUUUAUAUGAAAGCAUGUGUGCCUGUCAGGAAAGAAAACAUCAAAGCAACUCCUGAUCCAUCUGAGUUUAGUUGUUUGCUCACGGACGAGCAAAGGGUAGAUUGGGGGAGUUUGUUGACGGUCCUUAAGUACCAAAUUCAACCGUCAACUAAACAUGGAAAAGGAUCAAUAUGAACCAAACACCUAGAAUUAGGGUUUUAUCUGACAGAAUUCUACGAGUUUUGGUGUUUGUCUAUUUCUGCAGGGGGUUAUCAGAAAAUAUGGAGAGAAGGCCC
Molecule: long non-coding RNA, 2102 nt
Filed under: Sorghum bicolor (sorghum)
Lineage: Eukaryota; Viridiplantae; Streptophyta; Magnoliopsida; Poales; Poaceae
Description: long non-coding RNA (SBIC_LNC012434)
Source: RNAcentral